UCCGGCUUAACGCCGGCGGUUUCCUUAGAGUGCCCAGCCGAACUGAUGGCAACUAAGGACGAGGGUUGCGCUCGUUGCGGGACUUAACCCAACAUCUCACGACACGAGCUGACGACAGCCGUGCAGCACCUGUGCACCGGCCAGCCAAACUGAAGGAGUCCAUCUCUGGACCCCAAACCGGGCAUGUCAAGGGGUGGUAAGGUUCUUCGCGUUGCCUCGAAUUAAACCACAUGCUCCACCGCUUGUGCGGGUCCCCGUCAAUUCCUUUGAGUUUUAAUCUUGCGACCGUACUCCCCAGGCGGGGUGCUUAAUGCGUUAGCGGCGCCACCGAGGUCUAUGACCCCGACGGCUAGCACCCAUCGUUUACGGCGUGGACUAC
This 379-nucleotide unclassified non-coding RNA is filed under the name uncultured Alphaproteobacteria bacterium. RNAcentral describes it as "contains 16S-23S intergenic spacer region". The record is from RNAcentral. Lineage: Bacteria; Pseudomonadati; Pseudomonadota; Alphaproteobacteria.